Molecule: ribosomal RNA, 486 nt
Filed under: uncultured bacterium
Lineage: Bacteria
Description: partial 16S ribosomal RNA
Rfam family: Bacterial small subunit ribosomal RNA
Source: RNAcentral
GAUGAACGCUGGCGGCGUGCUUAACACAUGCAAGUCGAACGGUGAAAGAGGGAGCUUGCUCCCUCUGGAUCAGUGGCGAACGGGUGAGUAACACGUGAGUAACCUGCCCUUGACUCUGGGAUAAGCGUUGGAAACGACGUCUAAUACCGGAUACGAGCUUCAGCCGCAUGGCUAGGAGCUGGAAAGAACUUCGGUCAAGGAUGGACUCGCGGCCUAUCAGCUUGUUGGUGAGGUAAUGGCUCACCAAGGCGACGACGGGUAGCCGGCCUGAGAGGGUGACCGGCCACACUGGGACUGAGACACGGCCCAGACUCCUACGGGAGGCAGCAGUGGGGAAUAUUGCACAAUGGGCGCAAGCCUGAUGCAGCAACGCCGCGUGAGGGACGACGGCCUUCGGGUUGUAAACCUCUUUUAGUAGGGAAGAAGCGAAAGUGACGGUACCUGCAGAAAAAGCACCGGCUAACUACGUGCCAGCAGCCGCCGUAA